Oncorhynchus tshawytscha (Chinook salmon) is the source of this 305-nucleotide long non-coding RNA. RefSeq lists it as uncharacterized. The record is from RefSeq and is a predicted model, not a curated record. NCBI's taxonomy places the organism in Eukaryota, Metazoa, Chordata, Actinopteri, Salmoniformes, Salmonidae. The transcript has 2 exons.
UAUUGUGUCAACAUGCGCAAGACUGUAGAAAACCCACUCAAACGUGUUUCUGUAAAACACGAGUAGCAGCAGAGAAAAAAAAAGAUCAAAUUUCAGUACAAAUAAAUAGGAUCGAUUGAGCAUGUCACACCUGAAGAAAGGACUCUAACGAUGGCCGUCUUCGACACUCUGCCAGCUGACAUCCAAGCAGAGGAUGUUGCUGUGGUCAUCCCGGAUGUCACCCCACACGUCACCAAGGACGUGACACUGGAUGUUCCAUGCAGAGCUAGGAAAGGGGCAGUCCAGCGAUUAUUUUGCAGGCUUUG